This 466-nucleotide ribosomal RNA is filed under the name uncultured bacterium. Its description in RNAcentral is "partial 16S ribosomal RNA". It matches the Rfam family "Bacterial small subunit ribosomal RNA", at positions 28 to 507 of the family's 1533-position model. The record is from RNAcentral.
GAUGAACGCUGGCGGCGUGCUUAACACAUGCAAGUCGAACGAGAAAGCCCAGCUUGCUGGGUGGCUUAGUGGCGAACGGGUGAGUAACACGUGAGUAACCUGCCCUUAACUCUGGGAUAAGCCUGGGAAACUGGGUCUAAUACCGGACAGGAGCGUCCACCGCAUGGGGGGUGCUGGAGAGAUUUAUGGUUGUUGGUUGGGUUCGCGGCCUGUCAGCUUGUUGGUGAGGUAUUGGCUCACCAAGGCGACGCCGGGUAGCGUGCCUGAGAGGGUGACCGGCCCCACUGGGACUGGGAUACGGCCCAGCCUCCUCCGCGACGCAGCAGUGGAGAAUAUUGCACAGUGGGCGCAAGCCUGAUGCAGCGACGCCGCGUGGGGGAUGACGGCCAUCGGGUUGUAAACCUCUUUCAGUAGGGCAGAAGCGAAAGUGACGGUACCUGCAGAAGAAGCACCGGCUAACUACGUG